RNAcentral lists this ribosomal RNA (325 nucleotides) under uncultured eukaryote. RNAcentral's name for it is "partial 18S ribosomal RNA". It matches the Rfam family "Eukaryotic small subunit ribosomal RNA", at positions 1470 to 1796 of the family's 1831-position model. The record is from RNAcentral.
CCCUUAGAUGUUCUGGGCCGCACGCGCGCUACACUGAUGCAUUCAACGAGCCUAUCCUUGACCGACAGGUCCGGGUAAUCUUUGAAUCUGCAUCGUGACGGGGAUAGAUUAUUGCAAUUAUUAAUCUUCAACGAGGAAUGCCUAGUAGGCGCAAGUCAUCAGCUUGCGUCGAUUACGUCCCUGCCCUUUGUACACACCGCCCGUCGCUCCUACCGAUUGGGUGUGCUGGUGAAAUGUUCGGAUCGGCCGUUUGUCGCGGUUUCCGCGGCUCGUGGCUGAGAAAUUCAUUAAACCCUCCCACCUAGAGGAAGGAGAAGUCGUAACA